GGGGAUUUAGCUCAGCGGCAUAAGCACCUGCCUUGCAAGCAGGUUGAGAGUUCAAUCCUCA
RNAcentral lists this transfer RNA (61 nucleotides) under Cavia porcellus (domestic guinea pig). It matches the Rfam family "tRNA". From Rfam's summary of the family: Transfer RNA (tRNA) molecules are approximately 80 nucleotides in length. Lineage: Eukaryota; Metazoa; Chordata; Mammalia; Rodentia; Caviidae. The record is from Rfam by way of RNAcentral.